AGGGAGAGAAAAAGGAAGAGCCCUAGAAUUUUCCAUGAAAAAUUCAUUUUUUGUAGUUAUUGUAAUUAUUAUUCCUAGAGAAAAUUAGAGAAAUUGAAGUGUGGUAUUGAAGAAUAUUUUACCUUCUAUUAUUAGGGAUACCAUGGAAGAAUUACUUGGUAAAUAUUAUUAUUCCCAAAUCAUCAGGAUCCAUGAGGCCGAAGAUCAUGAAAGUGCCAUUUGUAUUCCCCCUAUCGAGGAGCAUGGAAUAUUUUAUUUUACAUGUGUAAUAAUACAAUUGCUCAACUUAGAGGGACUUUUUGGGUGUGAGGCACAUGAAGCCUGAACGUCCACUUAAAUGGCUUCAUGGAAGUCUAUGCUCCAUUCAAUGAUGCAUAUAUAUCCCAAAAGUGUAAUCAAGUUAUGCCUUUUCCCACUCUCACUCAUGAGAAAGGUAGUGUUAUGGCUAA
Long non-coding RNA from Capsicum annuum, 449 nucleotides. RefSeq lists it as uncharacterized. Lineage: Eukaryota; Viridiplantae; Streptophyta; Magnoliopsida; Solanales; Solanaceae. The transcript is spliced from 2 exons. The record is from RefSeq and is a predicted model, not a curated record.